GUGCCGAGCGAGUUGUUUCCUAGCUUCCCAAAGAGCUGGAAGCAAGAUGCUGUGGGGCCCAACUCGCCCUUUGGAAAGAAGCCUGCACGUUGUGCCUUUCAGCUCUAGGGCAAUGUAGCACACCCAGAGCAGAAGUCCUACUUCAGCCAGAUCAGGCCUGCAAAGAAACUGCGUUUCACAGGCCUUUGGAAGAGAUGCUCCCUGUAGGCUGUAAGAGCACUGUGCAGAGCGAGUUGUUUCUUAGCUUCCCAAAGAGCUGGAAGCAAGAUGCUUGGGGCCCAACUCGCCCUUUGGAAAGAAGCCUGCACGUUGUGCCUUUCAGCUCUAGGGCAUGUAGCACACCCAGAGCAGAAGUUCUACUUCAG
Molecule: long non-coding RNA, 365 nt
Filed under: Equus caballus (horse)
Lineage: Eukaryota; Metazoa; Chordata; Mammalia; Perissodactyla; Equidae
Description: lncRNA (ENSECAG00000053594.1)
Source: RNAcentral